Sapajus apella (tufted capuchin) is the source of this 2484-nucleotide long non-coding RNA. RefSeq lists it as uncharacterized. The transcript has 2 exons. The record is from RefSeq and is a predicted model, not a curated record. NCBI's taxonomy places the organism in Eukaryota, Metazoa, Chordata, Mammalia, Primates, Cebidae.
CCAAAAGUGCUGGGAUUAUGGGCAUGAACCGCUGCGCCUGACCUUUACAUUUUUCGAAUGGGCGAACGGCAGCUUACUGUGCAGCAGUUUAUCAUGGAAACAAUGUAUGAUGCAUUCUCAUUGUUCCUAAUGUUCUUGAUUUCCACGACUCAUCACUCCCUCGUUUUCUUUGUCCAGCUUUUCUGAGCUCUGCAUGGCGCACUACAUCAUCUCGAAUGUUGUCACUUUAAGGACUUGUCUCUGUGUCUUCUGUGUCCUGUCUGUACAUACACACCUGGACUCUCGUUCACAAAUUGACGUCUUGGCUCCAACACCUCCACUGAGCUUCAGACUUAAAGGGACAGUGAUCUGAUAGAAAGUCCCACACAAACAUAUAAUGAUCAUGCUCACCAUAAAUUCUGGGGUGAUUCCAAGAGGACAUUCCAUGUACAUGUCUGAAAGAGAAUUUGUUUUGCUCAUACCCUGUUAAUGAUGCCUACUCCUUCCCAGUAAAGAACACCUCCUUCCAUGCUGUUGUUCACACUGAAAUUGCCGCAUACAAACUUUACUCCUCCAUUAUCAUUCCUCCCCAUCUGGUCAUCUCCAUUGUUUCAAAUCCAUUCACAUUUUGUUCAGUGAACUUCCAAAAUAUAUCCCCGAUGCAUACCUUUACCUCUGUUUCCACAGCCUUCAGUUUAAUCCACUGUCAUCAAAGUGACCACAGCUGCAUGAGCCUCCUAAGUGACCUCUUUGUUACCUUGGCUUUCCCUUGAUACUCUGUUCUCCAAAAGAAAUGCAAACAUAUAUUUUUCAGGAAUGAAAUAGUGGCAAGUGUAGCAACUUGGAUGGAAUUGGAGACCAUUAUUCUAAGUGAAGUAACUCAGGAGUGGAAAACCAGACAUCAUAUAUUCUCACUCAUAAGCGGGAGCUAAACUGAGGAUGCAAAGGCGUAAGAAGGAUACAGUGAACUCUGGGGACUUGGGGAGACGUGUCGGGGGGAGUGAGGAACACAAGGCUACAUAUUGCAUGCAGUGUACACUGCUUGGGUGACGGGUGCACCAAAAUCUCAGAAAUCACCACUAAAGAAUGUAUCCAUGAAAGAAAUUGUCACCUGUCCUCCAAAAACCUAUUGAAAUAAAAAAUUUAAAUAUUUUUAAAACAUGACUCAUCUAUCAUAUUGCUUUCCUGCUUAGAACCUUUUUAGCCAAACCCUUCAUACUUAAAAUCCAGUCUACUCAUCAAGGUGUCAAGACCUACAGGAUUUAGCCCCUACUUUCCUCUCACUUCCAUGUCCACUCUGUCUCACUGGGCCACCUGGCCAGCCUGACAGCUCUCCUCUUGGCUCCGGGACACCCAGUUUUUCCUCUGUCAGCACACUGAGUGCACUUCAGUGUGCACUGUACCCAAUGUGUAAUCUCUUAUCCCUCCCACUCUUUCCUGCAAGUCCCCAAAGUCCAUUGUGUCAUUCUUAUGCCUUUGCCAUCUCACAGCUUAGUUCCCACUUGUAAGUGAGAACAUAGGAUGUCUAUUUUUCCAUUUCUGAGUUACAAUUUGCCUGGUUCUCGCCUCUUCUGUCCCCCAGGCCUCCACUUGACAAACUCCUGCUUACCAUUUGGAUACCAGGACAAAUGUUAUCUCCUCAAAAUGGACUUCCUUAAAGACAUAAGACUUUUCCCUUGGGCUCAGCUCUAGCCCGCUUCCCUGUGUGUUGUCUUCAGAGCACUUACUGUGCUCUGCAAUAAACUUAUAUCUUUUUCCUUCUUGUCUCUUCUGAGUAGUGCACAGGCUCCAGGAGGGGAAGGCACCGUCUUUUCUGUGCUAUACCCCAGAGACUAGAACUUUUCUUGGUGCAGACUUGAUGCUCAACAAAUAUCUGCUGAAUAAAUGAAUAAACGAUUACAUAAAUGAAUAAUGCGCUCCUCUUUCCAUAAUUUUGGUUUUCCGGGCAACGAAAAACUUAGGAAAUAAUAUGGUCUUCAAGGUUUAUACAUGUCUUAUCUCUGCCAAGGACAGUUGCCUCUCCGGAGAGCUGACUUGACAUACGGCUGAAGCACCAUCGAGCGGACUGGAGGAAUGCUCUGAUCACAUUGCCCUGUGGCAUGGGGCUUAAUCAGCCUUUCCAUUUUUGGCUAAAUGGCUUCACUGCAAAUGCUUUCAAUCAUAUCCAUGUUUGGCUGAAAUUUUAUGGCGAAACAUAACUUAGGCGGAUUUUUAUUUGAAAAUUACAAUAAAACAAACUGUUCUUUCUAGACAUAUGUUCAAUAUUUCAGUGAAUCAACGUAGAGUUUUUUCUUGAACUUCUCUAUUCAUAUAGAAUAUGAAUUCUCACUUUUGUCCUAAGAGAAGUAAAACUUAGGCCGAGUAUGGUGGCUGAUGCUUGUAAUCCCAACACUUUGUGAGGCUGAGGUGGGAGGAUCACUUGAGCGCAGGAGGUUGAAGUUACAGUAAGCCGUGAUUGUGCCACUGCACGCCAGCCUGGGCGACAGAGAGAGACCCUGUCUCAAA